RNAcentral lists this ribosomal RNA (515 nucleotides) under bacterium symbiont of Megymenum gracilicorne. RNAcentral's name for it is "bacterial SSU rRNA". It matches the Rfam family "Bacterial small subunit ribosomal RNA", at positions 527 to 1041 of the family's 1533-position model. The record is from RNAcentral.
GGAGGGUGCAAGCGUUAAUCGGAAUUACUGGGCGUAAAGCGCACGCAGGCGGUCUGUCAAGUCGGAUGUGAAAUCCCCGGGCUUAACCUGGGAACUGCAUUCGAAACUGGCAGGCUGGAGUCUUGUAGAGGGGGGUAGAAUUCCAGGUGUAGCGGUGAAAUGCGUAGAGAUCUGGAGGAAUACCGGUGGCGAAGGCGACCCCCUGGACAAAGACUGACGCUCAGGUGCGAAAGCGUGGGGAGCAAACAGGAUUAGAUACCCUGGUAGUCCACGCCGUAAACGAUGUCGACUUGGAGGUUGUUCCCUUGAGGAGUGGCUUCCGGAGCUAACGCGUUAAGUCGACCGCCUGGGGAGUACGGCCGCAAGGUUAAAACUCAAAUGAAUUGACGGGGGCCCGCACAAGCGGUGGAGCAUGUGGUUUAAUUCGAUGCAACGCGAAGAACCUUACCUACUCUUGACAUCCAGAGAACUUAGCAGAGAUGCUUUGGUGCCUUCGGGAACUCUGAGACAGGUGC